This is a non-coding RNA of Vicia faba (fava bean), 345 nucleotides long. The record is from the annotation of a GenBank genome assembly. NCBI's taxonomy places the organism in Eukaryota, Viridiplantae, Streptophyta, Magnoliopsida, Fabales, Fabaceae.
CAUGAUACACUUGUCCAAGGAAUCGUAUUCGACUAUGAGAAUGAUGUUCAGGGCUAUCGCCAGAGGUUUAUAAGAGCUUGGGGCAUGGUGAACAAAGUUGAUAGAAAAACACCGAGGCAUAAGAACUCCAUUCCUUUGGAGCCUUAUCUUAAGUGGGUACAAUCCCGUGCUCAAAAUCUCAGGAUGCCUUAUGAUGCUAAUCUACCCAUCAUCAUGGAGCCCGUUGCUGAAGGAGACACUCCUUACAUUGUUCUUCAUCCUGACAUGCCGACUAAUUUCGAGGAGUUACAAAAAUCCAGGAUUCAACUCAAAGAGGAAGGAGAUACCUUUGAAACCCAAUUCUAC